RNAcentral lists this ribosomal RNA (350 nucleotides) under uncultured eukaryote. RNAcentral's name for it is "partial 18S ribosomal RNA". It matches the Rfam family "Eukaryotic small subunit ribosomal RNA", at positions 1470 to 1796 of the family's 1831-position model. The record is from RNAcentral.
CCCUUAGAUGUUCUGGGCCGCACGCGCGCUACACUGGCGAAGUCAACGAGCAAGCGGGGUCGGGCUUGUCCCGGGUUUCCGCAGUUCCUGGACCGAGAGGUUUUGGGUAAUCUUGAAACUUCGCCGUGCUGGGGAUAGAUGUUUGCAAUUUUCCAUCUUGAACGAGGAAUUCCUAGUAAGUGCAAGUCAUCAGCUUGCGCUGAUUACGUCCCUGCCCUUUGUACACACCGCCCGUCGCUCCUACCGAUUGGAUGUUCCAAUGAGGCCUUCGGAUUGUGGUUUGCGAGCAAUUGCAUUCUGUUUAGAAGUUGGUCAAAUUAUAACAUCUAGAGGAAGGAGAAGUCGUANCA